RNAcentral lists this transfer RNA (74 nucleotides) under Aerococcus christensenii. Its description in RNAcentral is "tRNA-Met". It matches the Rfam family "tRNA". From Rfam's summary of the family: Transfer RNA (tRNA) molecules are approximately 80 nucleotides in length. The record is from RNAcentral. Lineage: Bacteria; Bacillati; Bacillota; Bacilli; Lactobacillales; Aerococcaceae.
GGACCUUUAGCUCAGAUGGUUAGAGCAGACGGCUCAUAACCGUCAGGCCGUAGGUUCGAGUCCUACAAGGUCCA